RNAcentral lists this transfer-messenger RNA (326 nucleotides) under Sulfurisoma sp. It matches the Rfam family "Betaproteobacteria transfer-messenger RNA". Rfam says of the family: Bacterial tmRNA, also known as 10Sa RNA or SsrA, is named for its dual tRNA and mRNA-like properties. Its role is to liberate the mRNA from a stalled ribosome. Lineage: Bacteria; Pseudomonadati; Pseudomonadota; Betaproteobacteria; Nitrosomonadales; Sterolibacteriaceae. The record is from RNAcentral.
ACUCACCGAACUCCUUGAAAAUCGGAUAUUUCGGCCCCAUAAUUCGCUCAUGGUUGUAAUUCCGGCAAUCUGGAGGCGUCUUGGACGCGGGUUCGAUUCCCGCCACCUCCACCUAAGAGCAUCGGAGUGUUCUUAGGUGGGGGUGCACUGGUCUCGACAGGGUGAACAAAGGAAAGCAGGCAACUCGUCAGGCGAUCGACGUUAAUGAAGCAAAUCUCUAAACGCCAACGAUGAGCGUUUCGCAAUCGCCGCUUAAGGCCUUUGCCGAGGCUGCUUUAGCCUUGUAACCAAAGAAAAGCCGGCGGGGACUUCGGUCCCCGUCGUCA